Molecule: ribosomal RNA, 253 nt
Filed under: uncultured bacterium
Lineage: Bacteria
Description: partial 16S ribosomal RNA
Rfam family: Bacterial small subunit ribosomal RNA
Source: RNAcentral
UACGUAGGGUGCAAGCGUUAAUCGGAAUUACCGGGCGUAAAGCGUGCGCAGGCGGUUUUGUAAGUUUGUCGUGAAAGCCCCGGGCUCAACCUGGGAAUGGCGAUGAAGACUGCAAGGCUUGAAUCUGGCAGAGGGGGGUAGAAUUCCACGUGUAGCAGUGAAAUGCGUAGAGAUGUGGAGGAACACCGAUGGCGAAGGCAGCCCCCUGGGUCAAGAUUGACGCUCAUGCACGAAAGCGUGGGGAGCAAACAGG